Molecule: ribosomal RNA, 810 nt
Filed under: uncultured Curtobacterium sp.
Lineage: Bacteria; Bacillati; Actinomycetota; Actinomycetes; Micrococcales; Microbacteriaceae
Description: bacterial SSU rRNA
Rfam family: Bacterial small subunit ribosomal RNA
Source: RNAcentral
GGCGGCGUGCUUAACACAUGCAAGUCGAACGGUGAAGCAGGAGCUUGCUCUUGUGGAUCAGUGGCGAACGGGUGAGUAACACGUGAGUAACCUGCCCUUGACUCUGGGAUAAGCGUUGGAAACGACGUCUAAUACCGGAUAUUUCAACCGACGGCAUCGUCUGGUUGUGGAAAGAUUUUUUGGUCAAGGAUGGACUCGCGGCCUAUCAGCUUGUUGGUGAGGUAAUGGCUCACCAAGGCGACGACGGGUAGCCGGCCUGAGAGGGUGACCGGCCACACUGGGACUGAGACACGGCCCAGACUCCUACGGGAGGCAGCAGUGGGGAAUAUUGCACAAUGGGCGCAAGCCUGAUGCAGCAACGCCGCGUGAGGGAUGACGGCCUUCGGGUUGUAAACCUCUUUUAGUAGGGAAGAAGCGAAAGUGACGGUACCUGCAGAAAAAGCACCGGCUAACUACGUGCCAGCAGCCGCGGUAAUACGUAGGGUGCAAGCGUUGUCCGGAAUUAUUGGGCGUAAAGAGCUCGUAGGCGGUUUGUCGCGUCUGCUGUGAAAACUGGAGGCUCAACCUCCAGCCUGCAGUGGGUACGGGCAGACUAGAGUGCGGUAGGGGAGAUUGGAAUUCCUGGUGUGGCGGUGGAAUGCGCAGAUAUCAGGAGGAACACCGAUGGCGAAGGCAGAUCUCUGGGCCGUAACUGACGCUGAGGAGCGAAAGCGUGGGGAGCGAACAGGAUUAGAUACCCUGGUAGUCCACGCCGUAAGCGUUGGGAACUAGAUGUGGGGGCCAUUCCACGGUCUCCGUGUCGCAGCUAAC